UACGAAGGGGGCUAGCGUUGCUCGGAAUCACUGGGCGUAAAGCGCACGUAGGCGGCUUCUCAAGUCAGGGGUGAAAUCCUGGAGCUCGACUCCAGAACUGCCUUUGAUACUGAGGGGCUCGAGUCCGGGAGAGGUGAGCGGAACUGCGAGUGUAGAGGUGAAAUUCGUAGAUAUUCGCAAGAACACCAGUGGCGAAGGCGGCUCACUGGCCCGGUACUGACGCUGAGGUGCGAAAGCGUGGGGAGCAAACAGG
This 253-nucleotide ribosomal RNA is filed under the name uncultured bacterium. RNAcentral's name for it is "partial 16S ribosomal RNA". It matches the Rfam family "Bacterial small subunit ribosomal RNA", at positions 524 to 776 of the family's 1533-position model. The record is from RNAcentral.